GUGAGGAACCUAAGGAGAAGCUAAACAAGCAGCAGCGGCGCACCUCCAACCAGCUUCACUUAUUAUGAAUUUAUGGAUAAUAAUCGGAGUUCGACCCUCUCCAAGGAGCACACUGGAGUAGAAGUCGGUUUUCCACCGGAAGAAAGUUCACCCGAGACACCGGAAAGUCUGGAGAUGAUGAUGCUGCUGAUGAUGAUGAUGUAAACAGCACGUCGGAGGAGAUUGAUGACAGCAGCUUAACACAACCUGAAGACCACACAGAGGAGGCUCCAGACAAAAAAAUCGAAAGCCAUCAUCUGGUGAUGCCAAGCUCCUGGGUGAUCGAUCAGCCCAGCAGAGAUCUUUCCUGGACAACAUGCAACAGCAGCAUGAGAGGAAUCUGGAAAGAGAAGCGAGGCUUCUUUCCAGGUUUAUGGA
Molecule: long non-coding RNA, 417 nt
Organism: Thalassophryne amazonica
Lineage: Eukaryota; Metazoa; Chordata; Actinopteri; Batrachoidiformes; Batrachoididae
Exons: 3
Source: RefSeq, a predicted model, not a curated record